Molecule: ribosomal RNA, 484 nt
Filed under: uncultured bacterium
Lineage: Bacteria
Description: partial 16S ribosomal RNA
Rfam family: Bacterial small subunit ribosomal RNA
Source: RNAcentral
AUUGAACGCUGGCGGCAUGCUUUACACAUGCAAGUCGAACGGCAGCGCGGGCUUCGGCCUGGCGGCGAGUGGCGAACGGGUGAGUAAUGCAUCGGAACGUGCCCAGUCGUGGGGGAUAGCCCGGCGAAAGCCGGAUUAAUACCGCAUACGACCUGAGGGUGAAAGCGGGGGACCGAAAGACCUCGCGCUAUUUGAGCGGCCGAUGUCGGAUUAGCUAGUUGGUGGGGUAAAGGCUUACCAAGGCGACGAUCCGUAGCUGGUCUGAGAGGACGACCAGCCACACUGGGACUGAGACACGGCCCAGACUCCUACGGGAGGCAGCAGUGGGGAAUUUUGGACAAUGGGGGCAAGCCUGAUCCAGCCAUGCCGCGUGAGGGAAGAAGGCCUUCGGGUUGUAAAGCGCUUUUGUUAGGGAAGAAAUCCUCUGGGCUAAUACCCCGGGGGGAUGACGGUACCGGAAGAAUAAGCACCGGCUAACUACGUG